RNAcentral lists this small nuclear RNA (107 nucleotides) under Dasypus novemcinctus (nine-banded armadillo). Lineage: Eukaryota; Metazoa; Chordata; Mammalia; Cingulata; Dasypodidae. The record is from RNAcentral.
GUGCUCGCUUCGGCACCACAUAUACUAAAAUUGGAAUGACACAGAGAGGAUUAGCAUGGCCCCUGCGCAAGGAUGACAUGCAAAUUCGUGAAGCAUUCCAUAUUUUU